CGCUUUCCUAUCAACGCCACAUACAAGUUAGGAUGAAGAUUGCAGCUUUGGCGCUACUCCUAACACUCGCCUUUCUCGUGCUAGCAUCAAAUGCUGAUACGGAACCAACUUGUACGGUCAAAUACCUGAAGAAGUUUGGUGGGUAUUUGAUAGGUGGUUGUCAGGAAGAUUGUCAUCGAAUACUUACGUGCCCUGAGGACAAGGAAUGCAAUUUGGAGGCUGAUAUUGUUGGCAAGAGGUGCAGGUGCACAAUGUGCAUAUACUACUCCAAGGCUCCCAUAAAGGAAACUGUGAUGUUAAGUAACUAAGCUAAUAUCAGUGCAGGUUUGCUAAAACAAUAACAAUGCCAUAUCAUGGGGUGUAUUAGCAUGACUAUUUGCAAUAAAUCUUUAUAGAACAUAAUUCAACGUUA
Molecule: long non-coding RNA, 412 nt
Organism: Triticum aestivum (bread wheat)
Lineage: Eukaryota; Viridiplantae; Streptophyta; Magnoliopsida; Poales; Poaceae
Exons: 2
Source: RefSeq, a predicted model, not a curated record